Molecule: ribosomal RNA, 253 nt
Filed under: uncultured bacterium
Lineage: Bacteria
Description: partial 16S ribosomal RNA
Rfam family: Bacterial small subunit ribosomal RNA
Source: RNAcentral
UACAGAGGGUGCAAGCGUUGUUCGGAAUCAUUGGGCGUAAAGCGCGUGUAGGUGGCUUUCUAAGUCUGGUGUGAAAUCCCGGGGCUCAACCCCGGAAGUGCACUGGAUACUGGAGAGCUAGAGGGCGAGAGAGGAGAUUGGAAUUCAUGGUGUAGGGGUGAAAUCCGUAGAUAUCAUGAGGAACAUCUGUGGCGAAGGCGAAUCUCUGGCUCGUUUCUGACACUGAGACGCGAAAGCGUGGGGAGCGAACAGG